CAGCACAGUUCCCAGGGUCCCCAAACCAUGAUCUAGCCCGCAUCUAGCACUCACCUCUUCUUUCCAUCGCCUCCCAAUAACGACAUGGAAUUGUGAUCUUGCCGGUGAAUUGAUCCACUAAGCAAGUUAGAAGCUUCGUGACCCAGUCAUUUCCCCGACCCAGUCUUCAAUUCAAUGAGCAUUUUUUUUGGGGGUGACAUUUUCAACCUCAGCCACGACAGCACAUGAAGCAAGAAGAAGCCCUCGUCUACUGAGGGUGGCUGGGCUGAGGACCUGCGGUAGAGGCUGAGCAAGGGCUAUGAAGGGAAAGGAAGAAGCCUGGUAGGGACCAGUACGAGUUGGUACGCAGCUUACUUUCUAGUUACACAUUUAACAGAUUCUAGCUACUCCAGACAUUUGUGUGUACAACUGCAAGGCAAGAGAGCAUUUUGACUGAGAGGAGUAGGCAUUAAGGCUGUGUUCAGUGUUUUCACCAAGAUGGCAUCAAAGGCAAAGAAGGAAGCUCCUGCCUCUCCCAAGGCUGAAGCCAAAGCAAAAGCUUUGAAGGCCAAGAAGGCAGGCGGAAAGGCACGUCACCACUCUCCAGUGUCCCAAGACACUGCGGCUCUGGAGACAGCCUGAGCACCCUUGGACAAGGGUCCCCCAGCCUGCUAAUCCCUAUUCUCCUGCAAGCAUCAAAGUCUCGUACGGGAAAUGUAUGCUAUUGUUUUAAGCUCGAGAUUCACCUGUCACCUCUCUUGAGGGGAAGAUGACAACCAAAGUUGCCAAAGUCAGUACCAGAUCAGGCCCGACGGAGUGAAGAAGGCGUAGAUUCCACUGGCUCCUGAUGACGAUGCUUUGGAUGUUGCCAUAAAAAAUGUGAUCAUCUAAAUUGAGUCCAGCUGGCUAAUGUUGCCAUUGGAGGUUGUCAAAGACCCUUGGAUCUUCCAGGUGACCUGAAGCACAGUUUUGGAUCUCUCAUUUUGCUCUGAUCUGCUAUCUGUAACUCAGUGGCCAGCUCUGUGUCAUCUUCCCCUCAAGAGAGGUGACAGGUGAAUCUCGAGCUUAAAACAAUAGCAUACAUUUCCCGUACAAGACUUUGUUGCUAAUAGAGCUAGACAAUCUGGCCUGAGGCAAAAUAGACGUGCA
RNAcentral lists this long non-coding RNA (1128 nucleotides) under Heterocephalus glaber (naked mole-rat). Its description in RNAcentral is "lncRNA (ENSHGLG00000031935.1)". The record is from RNAcentral. Lineage: Eukaryota; Metazoa; Chordata; Mammalia; Rodentia; Bathyergidae.